This 253-nucleotide non-coding RNA is filed under the name Enterococcus hermanniensis. RNAcentral describes it as "T-box sequence". It matches the Rfam family "T-box leader". From Rfam's summary of the family: Uncharged tRNA acts as the effector for transcription antitermination of genes in the T-box leader family. T-boxes are found upstream of many aminoacyl-tRNA synthetase genes and some amino acid biosynthetic genes usually in Gram-positive bacteria. The record is from RNAcentral. Lineage: Bacteria; Bacillati; Bacillota; Bacilli; Lactobacillales; Enterococcaceae.
GAGAAAGCGAUGAAAAGAAAAGUACAUCUGAUUAAAGUACAAAGAGAGCUCCUGUAUGCUGAGAGGGAGUUAUGGAAAUGAGAUGGAAAAUGGUCUUUGAGCGGGAUAGACGAGACACAGUUAAGUCUAUCACGGGAGUGCCCGUUAUAGCACCUCAGUAUGCGCAAGUUGCAAGUACUGGUAGAGGUCGUGAUCGUAAGGUCAGGAUAAAUUUUAGGUGGUAACACGGAAGUCAAAAGCUUUCGUCCUAAGU